GAUGAACGCUGGCGGCGUGCCUAAUACAUGCAAGUCGAGCGAACGGACGAGAAGCUUGCUUCUCUGAUGUUAGCGACGGACGGGUGAGUAACACGUGGAUAACCUACCUAUAAGACUGGGAUAACUUCGGGAAACCGGAGCUGAUACCGGAUAAUAUUUUGAACCGCAUGGUUCAAAAGUAAAAGACGGUCUUGCUGUCACUUAUAGAUGGAUCCGCGCUGCAUUAGCUAGUUGGUAAGGUAACGGCUUACCAAGGCAACGAUGCAUAGCCGACCUGAGAGGGUGAUCGGCCACACUGGAACUGAGACACGGUCCAGACUCCUACGGGAGGCAGCAGUAGGGAAUCUUCCGCAAAGGGCGAAAGCCUGACGGAGCAACGCCGCGUGAGUGAUGAAGGUCUUCGGAUCGUAAAACUCUGUUAUUAGGGAAGAACAUAUGUGUAAGUAACUGUGCACAUCUUGACGGUACCUAAUCAGAAAGCCACGGCUAACUACGUG
Molecule: ribosomal RNA, 497 nt
Filed under: uncultured bacterium
Lineage: Bacteria
Description: partial 16S ribosomal RNA
Rfam family: Bacterial small subunit ribosomal RNA
Source: RNAcentral